AGAGACUAAACAUUGUUAAUGGCAACGAAACCAUAAACAUAGAGAAGUACCAAAUGCAGAAGUAAAAAAAAAAUUACAAACCAACAAAAACAAGUUCACAAAAACAAAGGGGCCAAAAACUUCAAAACAACUUCAACUUGAUGACACCAGUCUUCAGAACUGGAUUCUUCUUCAUCACUUGAGGACUCUGAGUUGUCAGCUUCACCAUCACUGCCAAAUUAUUCUUCCUAUUCUUCUUCACUGUCAGAUAUGUCUUCUUCCUCAACAUCC
Molecule: long non-coding RNA, 270 nt
Filed under: Lathyrus oleraceus (garden pea)
Lineage: Eukaryota; Viridiplantae; Streptophyta; Magnoliopsida; Fabales; Fabaceae
Description: Pisum sativum (pea) long non-coding RNA (PSAT_LNC007893)
Source: RNAcentral